UGGGGAAUCUUGCGCAAUGGGCGAAAGCCUGACGCAGCGAUGCCGCGUGCGGGAUGAAGGCCUUCGGGUUGUAAACCGCUUUCAGCAGGGACGCGGUACCUGCAGAAGAAGCCCCGGCCAACUACGUGCCAGCAGCCGCGGUAAUACGUAGGGGGCGAGCGUUGUCCGGAUUUAUUGGGUGUAAAGAGCUCGUAGGCGGUUCGGAAGUCGGAUGUGAAAUCUCCACGCUCAACGUGGAGGGGCCAUUCGAUACUGCGUGACUCGAGUCCGGUAGAGGAGUGUGGAAUUCCCGGUGUAGCGGUGAAAUGCGCAGAGAUCGGGAGGAACACCCGUAGCGAAGGCGGCACUCUGGGCCGGUACUGACGCUGAGGAGCGAAAGCUGGGGAGCAAACAGGAUUAGAUACCCGAGUAGU
Molecule: ribosomal RNA, 413 nt
Filed under: uncultured bacterium
Lineage: Bacteria
Description: bacterial SSU rRNA
Rfam family: Bacterial small subunit ribosomal RNA
Source: RNAcentral